GGUUGAAACAAUAUGACGGCGAGAAUGGAAAUGAGUAUGUGUAUUGACCCUCUAUUAGAUUAUCUUUCAUUUCACCUCCCCCCGUUUCUUUUCUUUUCAUAGUGUCGAAUGUUAGAACUCAUUGAAAAGUCAACUCAAUUAUUUGGAGCCCUUAAGACAUCUGACUACACAAUAAGAAACAUCCAACAAGGAAAAGAAGCUUCUCCAGAUCGAACGCUACCGUAACCCAAUAGCUGAAAACAGAUACAUGAAAGGAAGCCGACUGCCGC
Caenorhabditis elegans is the source of this 269-nucleotide non-coding RNA. Lineage: Eukaryota; Metazoa; Nematoda; Chromadorea; Rhabditida; Rhabditidae. The record is from Ensembl.